CAGUCGCCACGGGAAUACGAAGGGUGCAAGCGUUAAUCGGAAUUACUGGGCGUAAAGCGUGCGUAGGCGGUUUGUUAAGUCUGUUGUGAAAUCCCCGGGCUCAACCUGGGAAUGGCAAUGGAUACUGGCUCGCUAGAGUGUGUCAGAGGAUGGUGGAAUUCCCGGUGUAGCGGUGAAAUGCGUAGAGAUCGGGAGGAACAUCAGUGGCGAAGGCGGCCAUCUGGGACAACACUGACGCUGAGGCACGAAAGCGUGGGGAGCAAACAGGAUUAGAUACCCGCGUAGUCCCUGUCUCUUAUAC
Molecule: ribosomal RNA, 301 nt
Filed under: uncultured bacterium
Lineage: Bacteria
Description: partial 16S ribosomal RNA
Rfam family: Bacterial small subunit ribosomal RNA
Source: RNAcentral